CCUGGAGAAGCCUGGCAUCCCCAGUGCAUUGGUCUAAGACAGCUCAGCAGGGAGCAAGGCAAUGGCUUACUGCGAAUCAAGCAGGACAAAACAACCAGGAGGAUCCCCAGAGACACUACACGCAGGGUGAUGAUGUCCAGGGUAGAAAGAGAGUUAUAGGAAGGGUGCUGCUCAGGUCACUCCUCACUAUCAAGCAUGCCUUUUUGUACCUUCAGCAGGCCCGCAGCAGUCCGUUCUCUCCCAGGAGGCAGCAGUGUUAUACCUAGUGCCAAAGUCCUACUCCUAGCUUUUCUUCAGCUCAUUGAAUUAGAGGAAGAGGAAGAAGCUUUUUCUCCUCGGAAAAAAUGAGAGCAUUUGGAGUCAAACUCUUACUGGUUCCCGGGUCACGAUGAGAAGCUAAGAGCAGAAACCAAAAUGAAAGACUCUCAGCAAGGUAAAUUUUGGUCUCCAGGGGAAGGUGGGAGGCAGGAGCUGUAUGGGAGACUCAUGUCUGCGUGGCUGUUUGGCUUCUCAUGCCCAUUU
Molecule: long non-coding RNA, 522 nt
Filed under: Crocodylus porosus (Australian saltwater crocodile)
Lineage: Eukaryota; Metazoa; Chordata; Crocodylia; Crocodylidae
Description: lncRNA (ENSCPRG00005004447.1)
Source: RNAcentral